This 507-nucleotide long non-coding RNA is filed under the name Homo sapiens (human). RNAcentral's name for it is "novel transcript". Lineage: Eukaryota; Metazoa; Chordata; Mammalia; Primates; Hominidae. The record is from RNAcentral.
AAUGAGAAAAUAUUUUAUGAAUGCAAAAUUGGGACAUAGAGUCUGACCAAGGUUUCCUAUGGGAGUUUCAGACAUGGUAAUUAGAAACCAGGAAGACUGAGAAGGAAUCAAAUUUGCAGCAGCUCAGUAAGUGGUAGACUGGGAACAAGAAGCCAGUUCUCUGGGCUCUUGAAGCAAGGCCCUGCCACGUUGUCUUUCCCCAGGAGAGGAGGUCAUAAGACAUUCAUUCCAGAGAGAGUCCUGCCCCACCUCUGAGAAGGAAGGAAUGUACACUCAAGAGAGAUCAAGAAGAAUCUAAACAAACAGGCCCUUCUGCGUUUUCCCACAAGAGAAAAUGAUCUAAUUAACAUUCGAUCAUAACUUUUUGUCCAAUUAUAUUUCUACACUGCUGUUCAUACUUUAUUUAACCUAGGCAUAAAAAUUGACAAUUUUUAUUGUAUUUUUGGCUCUUCAUUCUGAAGGCUUCCAUGUAUACAUGUUAAAUAAAUUUGUACACCUUUUCUCCAA